This 162-nucleotide ribosomal RNA is filed under the name uncultured bacterium. Its description in RNAcentral is "partial 16S rRNA". It matches the Rfam family "Bacterial small subunit ribosomal RNA", at positions 355 to 509 of the family's 1533-position model. The record is from RNAcentral.
UAGGGAAUCUUCCACAAUGGACGCAAGUCUGAUGGAGCAACGCCGCGUGAGUGAAGAAGGUUUUCGGAUCGUAAAGCUCUGUUGUUGGUGAAGAAGGAUAGAGGCAGUAACUGGUCUUUAUUUGACGGUAAUCAACCAGAAAGUCACGGCUAACUACGUGCA